GGGAAGUGAAGGACUCGCAGGCAUAUUUAACAACGCAAAGUUGCUAGGAGUUGGUACCAGCGUUUGGGAGGUAGAGGUGGCGCUCAUGCAUAUUUGAGACAACAUCUGGAUGGUUGGGGAGAACGGUGAUGCCACACUCAAUCAGAAACUAUGCUACUGCUGAAGAGGUAUAUUGAGCCCUGCCUGGUUAACCUCCAGUGAGGUUAUUAGAGAAUUGGGAGAGGCUCAAAUCAGCAUCCUGCACCUAGUUAUCAAACCAUUGUGAAGUCUUGAUUCCUGGAUGGCCAGAAAACUUGUCAUUGGUCAAGAGCAACAUUAAGAUCUGCCUGUUACUCAUACUGAUGCUUCCUGCCCAGCAAGUUCAUCAGAGGGCGAGGAUGAAUUACGGUUGCCAUGAAUGUCCUUGUGAGGCAGUUGGGAAGCCUUGGCUGGAUUGUGAAGGAUAUUUGAAAAGUAUUUUAGAGUCCACCAGAUCAUCCAUGUGAGUGACCAUGCAGCAAAAGAAGGAGGGUCCUCUCAGUGAUUAAGGUAACAUAGUGAUUAAGGAUUAUGAAGUAUUAAUUCUUCCACUGAUAUCUCAAAAGGUGAUCUGGACAAAGGAACAGGUAUCUCAGUGCAGAUGCUUUUUAGUUUGAUGCAACUCAAGUUGUCUGUUGCGGGAAGUCAGGGACCCCAAACGGAGGGACUGGCUGAAGCCAUGGCGGAAGAACGUGGAUCGUGAAGAUUUCAUGGACAUUUAUUAGUUCCCCAAAUUAAUACUUUUAUAAUUUCUUAUGCCUGUCUUUACUGCAAUCUCUAAACAUAAAUUGUGAAGAUUUCAUGGACACUUAUCACUUCCCCAAUCAAUACCCUUGUGAUUUCCUAUGCCUGUUUUAAUCUCUUAAUCCUGUCAUCUCGUAAGCCGAGGAGGACGUAUGUCGCCUCAGGACCCUGUGAUAAUUGUGUUAAGUGCAGAAAUUGUAGAGCAUGUGUGUUUAAACAAUAUGAAAUCUAGGCACCUUGAAAAAAGAACAGGAUAACAGCAAUGUUCAGGGAAUAAGAGAGAUAACCUUAAACUCUGACCGCCGGUGAGCCAGGCGGAACAGAGCCAUAUUUCUCUUCUUUCAAAAGCAAAUGGGAGAAAUAUCGCCGAAUUCUUUUUCUCAGCAAGGAACAUCCCUGAGAAAGAGAAUGUGCCCCUGAGGGUGGGCCUCUAAAAUGGCCCCCUUGGGUGUAGCUGUCUUCUAUGGUCGAGACUGUAGGGAUGAAAUAAGCCCCAGUCUCCCAUAGCGCUCCCAGGCUUAUUAGGACGAGGAAAUUCCCACCUAAUAAAUUUUGGUCAGACAGGUUGCUCUCAAACCCUGUCUCCUGAUAAGAUGUUAUCAAUGACGAUGGUGCCCGAAACUUCAUUAGCAAUUUUAAUUUCAACCCAGUCCUGUGGUCCUGUGAUCUCGCCCUGCCUCCAUUUGCCUUGUGAUAUUCUAUUACCUUGUGAAGCACGUGAUCUCUGUGACCCACCUCCUAUUCGUAUACUCCCUCCCCUUUGAAAAUCCCUAAUAAAAACUUACUGGUUUUACGGCUCAGGGGGCAUCACGGAACCUACCGACAUGUGAUGUCUCCCCAGGAUGCCCAGCUUUAAAAUUUCUCUCUUUUGUACUCUGUCCCUUUAUUUCUCAACCCGGCCAAUGCUUAGGGAAAAUAGAAAAGAACCUAUGUGACUAUCUGGGCAGGUUCCCUGAUAGUUGUCUGGCUGUUUUUGCUGCCCAUGCUUUUAAGGAUGUAUCCAAGAAAUCAUUGCCCAGAACAACAUCAUAGAGCUUUUCCCCUAUAUUUUCUACUAGUAGUUUUACAGUUUCAAAGGCAACAUUUCA
Molecule: long non-coding RNA, 1850 nt
Organism: Homo sapiens (human)
Lineage: Eukaryota; Metazoa; Chordata; Mammalia; Primates; Hominidae
Gene: FTX
Product: FTX transcript, XIST regulator
Source: Ensembl